RNAcentral lists this ribosomal RNA (1029 nucleotides) under Lulworthia sp. NIOCC 12V. RNAcentral's name for it is "SSU rRNA". It matches the Rfam family "Eukaryotic small subunit ribosomal RNA", at positions 68 to 1108 of the family's 1831-position model. Lineage: Eukaryota; Fungi; Ascomycota; Sordariomycetes; Lulworthiales; Lulworthiaceae. The record is from RNAcentral.
AGCAAUUAUACAGCGAAACUGCGAAUGGCUCAUUAAAUCAGUUAUCGUUUAUUUGAUAGUGCCCAUCUACAUGGAUAACCGUGGUAAUUCUAGAGCUAAUACAUGCGUAAAAGCGCGACUUCGGGAGCGCUGUAUUUAUUAGAUUAAAGACCAAUGCCCUCCGGGGCUCACUGGUGAUUCAUGAUAACUCCUCUGAUCGCACGGCCUUGCGCCGGCGACGGCUCAUUCAAAUUUCUGCCCUAUCAACUUUCGACUUUAGUGUAGUGGACUAAAGUGGUUGCAACGGGUAACGGAGGGUUAGGGCUCGACCCCGGAGAAGGAGCCUGAGAAACGGCUACUACAUCCAAGGAAGGCAGCAGGCGCGCAAAUUACCCAAUCCCGACACGGGGAGGUAGUGACAAUAAAUACUGAUACAGGGCUCUUUCGGGUCUUGUAAUCGGAAUGAGUACAAUCUAAAUCCUUUAACGAGGAGCAAUUGGAGGGCAAGUCUGGUGCCAGCAGCCGCGGUAAUUCCAGCUCCAAUAGCGUAUAUUAAAGUUGUUGUGGUUAAAAAGCUCGUAGUUGAACCUGGGCCCCGUCCCGGCCGGUCCGCCUCACCGCGUGCACUGGUUCGGGAGGGGCUUCGCACCUUGGGGGUACGCAUGCCCUUCGCUGGGCGUGCGGGGAACCAGGACUUUUACUGUGAAAAAAUUAGAGUGUUCAAAGCAGGCCUAUGCUCGAAUACAUUAGCAUGGAAUAAUAAAAUAGGACGUGCGGUUCUAUUUUGUUGGUUAUGGGACCGCCGUAAUGAUUAAUAGGGACAGUCGGGGGCGUCAGUAUUCGGUGGUCAGAGGUGAAAUUCUUGGACCCACCGAAGACUAACUACUGCGAAAGCAUUCGCCAAGGAUGUUUUCAUUAAUCAGGAACGAAAGUUAGGGGAUCGAAAACGAUCAGAUACCGUUGUAGUCUUAACCAUAAACUAUGCCGACUAGGGAUCGGGCGAUGUUGCUUACUGACUCGCUCGGCACCUUUCGAGAAAUCAAAGUCUGU